This 231-nucleotide long non-coding RNA is filed under the name Phaseolus vulgaris (common bean). RNAcentral describes it as "long non-coding RNA (PVUL_LNC002273)". The record is from RNAcentral. Lineage: Eukaryota; Viridiplantae; Streptophyta; Magnoliopsida; Fabales; Fabaceae.
AAAUAUUUAUCUAACUCAACAAAAUAUUUACCUAACUAAAAACACAUUUACCUAACAAAAAUAUAUGUAAUUUUUGGGAGAACUAUAACAAAAUACGAAUAAAAUUAAUGGAGAAUAAAAAGACAAUUAUAGAAGAAAAUGUUAUUGAGAAACAAAAAUUUUAAAAUUGAUGAAGAAGAAUCUAGACAAGAACAACCAUUACACAUGACCCUCAUUUCUCUGACUAAGCUU